GGCUCACCAAGGCGACGAUGCGUAGCCGACCUGAGAGGGUGAUCGGCCACACUGGGACUGAGACACGGCCCAGACUCCUACGGGAGGCAGCAGUAGGGAAUCUUCCGCAAUGGACGAAAGUCUGACGGAGCAACGCCGCGUGAACGAAGAAGGCCUUCGGGUCGUAAAGUUCUGUUGUUAGGGAAGAACAAGUACCAGAGUAACUGCUGGUACCUUGACGG
This 221-nucleotide ribosomal RNA is filed under the name uncultured Bacillus sp. RNAcentral's name for it is "partial 16S ribosomal RNA". It matches the Rfam family "Bacterial small subunit ribosomal RNA", at positions 262 to 475 of the family's 1533-position model. The record is from RNAcentral. Lineage: Bacteria; Bacillati; Bacillota; Bacilli; Caryophanales; Bacillaceae.